Molecule: ribosomal RNA, 253 nt
Filed under: uncultured bacterium
Lineage: Bacteria
Description: partial 16S ribosomal RNA
Rfam family: Bacterial small subunit ribosomal RNA
Source: RNAcentral
GACGUAGGAGGCGAGCGUUAUCCGGAUUCACUGGGCGUAAAGCGCAUGUAGGCGGAUGUCUAAGUCGUGUGUUAAAGCCCCUGGCUCAACUGGGGGAGGUCAUGCGAGACUGGAUGACUUGAGGGCAACAGAGGCACGUGGAACUCCCGGUGUAGCGGUGGAAUGCGUAGAGAUCGGGAAGAACACCAAUGGCGAAGGCAGCUCGCUGGGACGGUACUGACGCUGAGGCGCGAAAGCGUGGGGAGCAAACAGG